GACGAACGCUGGCGGCGUGCCUAAUACAUGCAAGUCGAGCGGACUGAUUAGGAGCUUGCUCUUAUGACGUUAGCGGCGGACGGGUGAGUAACACGUGGGCAACCUCCCCUGUAGAUCGGGAUAUCACCGAGUACUCGGUGCUAAUACCGGGUAAGAUCUGAGUUCACUUUCUCUUAGGUUAAAAGAUGACUCCGGCUAUCACUACAGGAUGCCCCCGCGGCGCAUUAGCUAGUUGGUAAGGUAAUGGCUUACCAAGGCGACGAUGCGUAGCCGACCUGAGAGGGUGAUCGGCCACACUGGGACUGAGACACGGCCCAGACUCCUACGGGAGGCAGCAGUAGGGAAUCUUCCGCAAUGGACGAAAGUCUGACGGAGCAACGCCGCGUGAGUGAUGAAGGGUUUCGGCUCGUAAAGCUCUGUUGUUAGGGAAGAAACAGUACCGAACGAACUAGGUCGGUACCUUGACGGUACCUAACCAGAAAGCCACGGCUAACUACGUG
RNAcentral lists this ribosomal RNA (500 nucleotides) under uncultured bacterium. RNAcentral describes it as "partial 16S ribosomal RNA". It matches the Rfam family "Bacterial small subunit ribosomal RNA", at positions 28 to 507 of the family's 1533-position model. The record is from RNAcentral.